UGGAUGACCUGCCCUUUAGUGGGGAAUAACCCGGGGGAAACUCGGGCUAAUACCGCAUAAGACCGAGAGGUGAAAGCGGGGUCGCAAGAUCUCGUGCUGAAGGAGGGGUCCGCGUUCGAUUAGCUAGUUGGUAGGGUAAUGGCCUACCAAGGCGACGAUCGAUAGCCGGCCUGAGAGGGUGAUCGGCCACGCUGGAACUGAGACACGGUCCAGACUCCGUACGGGAGGCAG
Molecule: ribosomal RNA, 231 nt
Filed under: uncultured bacterium
Lineage: Bacteria
Description: partial 16S ribosomal RNA
Rfam family: Bacterial small subunit ribosomal RNA
Source: RNAcentral